UACGGAGGGAGCUAGCGUUAUUCGGAAUUACUGGGCGUAAAGCGCACGUAGGCGGCUUUGUAAGUUAGAGGUGAAAGCCUGGAGCCCAACUCCAGAAUUGCCUUUAAGACUGCAUCGCUUGAAUCCAGGAGAGGUGAGUGGAAUUCCGAGUGUAGAGGUGAAAUUCGUAGAUAUUCGGAAGAACACCAGUGGCGAAGGCGGCUCACUGGACUGGUAUUGACGCUGAGGUGCGAAAGCGUGGGGAGCAAACAGG
This 253-nucleotide ribosomal RNA is filed under the name uncultured bacterium. Its description in RNAcentral is "partial 16S ribosomal RNA". It matches the Rfam family "Bacterial small subunit ribosomal RNA", at positions 524 to 776 of the family's 1533-position model. The record is from RNAcentral.